RNAcentral lists this transfer RNA (66 nucleotides) under Peregrinus maidis (corn hopper). Its description in RNAcentral is "tRNA-Leu". Lineage: Eukaryota; Metazoa; Arthropoda; Insecta; Hemiptera; Delphacidae. The record is from RNAcentral.
GCUAAUUUGGCAGAAAAGUGCUUUAAAUUUAGAAUUUAAAAAUGUAAAUAUAUACUACAGUUAGUA